UACGUAGGUGGCAAGCGUUGUCCGGAUUUAUUGGGUUUAAAGGGUGCGUAGGCGGUUUUAUAAGUCAGUGGUGAAAUACAACAGCUUAACCGUUGAGGUGCCAUUGAUACUGUAAGACUUGAGUACAGACGAGGUAGGCGGAAUUGACGGUGUAGCGGUGAAAUGCGUAGAGAUGGGGAAGAACACCGAUAGCGAAGGCAGCUUACUAGACUGUAACUGACGCUGAGGCGCGAAAGUGUGGGGAGCAAACAGG
This 253-nucleotide ribosomal RNA is filed under the name uncultured bacterium. RNAcentral describes it as "partial 16S ribosomal RNA". It matches the Rfam family "Bacterial small subunit ribosomal RNA", at positions 524 to 776 of the family's 1533-position model. The record is from RNAcentral.